RNAcentral lists this ribosomal RNA (434 nucleotides) under uncultured bacterium. RNAcentral's name for it is "bacterial SSU rRNA". It matches the Rfam family "Bacterial small subunit ribosomal RNA", at positions 29 to 508 of the family's 1533-position model. The record is from RNAcentral.
AACGAACGCUGGCGGCAUGCCUAACACAUGCAAGUCGAACGAGACCUUCGGGUCUAGUGGCGCACGGGUGCGUAACGCGUGGGAAUCUGCCCUUGGGUUCGGAAUAACAGUUGGAAACGACUGCUAAUACCGGAUGAUGACGUAAGUCCAAAGAUUUAUCGCCCAGGGAUGAGCCCGCGUAGGAUUAGCUAGUUGGUGAGGUAAAGGCUCACCAAGGCGACGAUCCUUAGCUGGUCUGAGAGGAUGAUCAGCCACACUGGGACUGAGACACGGCCCAGACUCCUACGGGAGGCAGCAGUGGGGAAUAUUGGACAAUGGGCGAAAGCCUGAUCCAGCAAUGCCGCGUGAGUGAUGAAGGCCUUAGGGUUGUAAAGCUCUUUUACCCGGGAUGAUAAUGACAGUACCGGGAGAAUAAGCCCCGGCUAACUCCGUGC